CACAGGAGUUCUUUCCCUAUCGUUUUCUUCUUUUUAGGUCACAACCCGAACUCUUUUUCGUAUAAAAGGGUGAUCUUUUCCUCUUACUUUCUCCAGUCUCUUCUUCAUCUGUUUGCGACCUGAUACUCCCGGUGCCCGACUAGCUUGACGUUGUGGAGGAGCGCCGCCAUACUUGAUUUAUUGUUUGACACUUCUACACAAUAACCCAUACCGGUAAGGUAUUGUGUAUACGUGUCACAACCUUACGGAAUAUUCUAUGGGAAAUUUGAUGGCAUUAUUGAUGUAGUAACAAAUAUAUUGUUGAAAUGAAAAUUUUU
Long non-coding RNA from Daphnia pulicaria, 317 nucleotides. RefSeq lists it as uncharacterized. The transcript is spliced from 2 exons. The record is from RefSeq and is a predicted model, not a curated record. NCBI's taxonomy places the organism in Eukaryota, Metazoa, Arthropoda, Branchiopoda, Diplostraca, Daphniidae.